RNAcentral lists this ribosomal RNA (419 nucleotides) under Bacillota bacterium. RNAcentral describes it as "Firmicutes bacterium partial 16S ribosomal RNA". It matches the Rfam family "Bacterial small subunit ribosomal RNA", at positions 355 to 776 of the family's 1533-position model. Lineage: Bacteria; Bacillati; Bacillota. The record is from RNAcentral.
UUGGGAAUAUUGGGCAAUGGGCGCAAGCCUGACCCAGCGACACCGCGUGGGGGACGAAGGCCUUCGGGUCGUAAACCCCUGUCAGGAGGGACGAAGUCCGCCGCAAGGCGGGUGACGGUACCUCCAGAGGAAGCCCCGGCUAACUACGUGCCAGCAGCCGCGGUAAGACGUAGGGGGCGAGCGUUGUCCGGAUUUACUGGGCGUAAAGCGCGUGCAGGCGGUCCGUUAAGUCUCGUGUGAAAUCCUCCGGCUCAACCGGAGAACGCCGCGGGAUACUGACGAGCUUGAGGGCGGUAGAGGGUGAUGGAAUUCCCGGUGGAACGGUGAAAUGCGUAGAUAUCGGGAGGAACGCCAGUGGCGAAGGCGGUCACCUGGGCCGUCCCUGACGCUGAGACGCGAAAGCUGGGGGAGCGAACGGG